Molecule: RNA transcript, 2568 nt
Organism: Sycon ciliatum
Lineage: Eukaryota; Metazoa; Porifera; Calcarea; Leucosolenida; Sycettidae
Exons: 3
Source: RefSeq, a predicted model, not a curated record
GAGUGAGUUAGAAGCCUGUGCUUUUGGCACUGUUUCUACCUGGCAACAAUAUCGCCACACACCAAAGCCACACGGCUCCGCACGACCGAGACCCGUAGAAAAGAUAUAAUAAUCAUGUCCAACCGAAACUCUUAUAGUUAUAUAUAUUAGUCUUACAUGUAACGACCUACAAUUCCUGCAGUGCACUCCCAGAACGGUUCGUCGGAAAUAUUUGGUGAGAAUGGAGUUUGCUUGACUCUGUAGAAAUAGUGUUCUGGAAGCCGGCCAUUUAGGAGUGAGAAUCUUCAUCAGUCUUUGCAAGUGCAACCACUGUCCAGUCAGAUACAGCCAGCGUGACAAGAUGGCCAUCGGUGGCUGCUCGCCAUUGCGUUUUCUCGCAAUCGCUUCAACAGUCAUGUGGUGGUCUCUGUGCUAGCAAGGAGUCUUGUCAGGCUCGCACGGAGAGUGACCUAGGAUCUUCCAAUAGCUGGGCUUCUGCUAUGAGUGGAUUUGGACUGGUGUCUAGUAACGCAAGCGAAAACAACGGGGUCUGCAUGUGGAACCAUGUCUAUUUAUCGUACUGCAGUGGAGACAUGCAUUAUGGCCAGCAAACGCAGCCAUAUUCCUCUGGCCACUUGACCGUCGUUGCCGUCCACGCACAGCUGCGGAAAGUCAACAACCUCAACGGGUGAGCAACUGGGAAGUAUUAAGUUCAUCCUUUCUUCGACGGUUUUUCCGCGGAGAACAAGCGAUAUGAUUGUAUGAAAUCAAAACUGUAAACUCAGCAUUUUUUCUCAAUGUGAAGGCAUACAUUCCAUGUUUAUUACAUUGACUUCGUGUUCAAAUUGCUUUCGAAAUAUUUGCACUCGUAGCAAUUAUACUACUGUCGUGGACAAGGAAAUCCGGUCGCACGUCUAGCGGACCCAGGGUGCUGGCCAUGCAGCCGUGGAUAAGCGCUACAUACAUGCAUUUAUCCGCUGCAGCGCGCUGGUCGCAUCGGAUUAACAUGACUCUGUGCACUGCACGCAGCGUUCUGUACGGGCUGAGGUCGCAAGCCCCGGUCAAUCGACUGGAUUUCCAUGUCCAAGACAGUAGUAGUGUACAUUACGUCAUCCACUAGCUGUUCACUACCAAUUGCGUUCGGCUGUUUCCCUUUCCGAAAACAAUCCUAGCCUGUCAGGCCCUUAGCGGUGACUCCUGGGUGGCUUGCAGGCCGAGCACAACACAUAGGUAUCAGGUUCGAAGGCAACAUUACCCAUCAAACAACCAUUGGUGUUGUCGAAUGGUACCAAACUAAACUCUGACUGUGUGGCAAAUAGAAAUUUGGGGGAACAGACUGAGGAGGGGAGAAUAGUUUCAUUACAGCAGGAAGAGUUGUAGCGCGUCUCUGAAUUCAGGUAUUUGCUAUAGGCGAAGCGGCUUGCAUGGUUGAUCGGUUACGUAUCCUCUUAGCAUAAAUGAGCGUGUAGUUGUUUACGCAACGAUCAGUUAGUUACGUUUUCAUUGUAACCAAUAAACGUAAGAGUAGUUAUAUUAUAAUUUAUAACACGUGCUGACACUGUGAGGUCUGCGUGUAAUGGAUGCACGACAAUGUUGUUCUCCGUGCCUGCGAGGACUGCGCAGGUUGCGCAUGCGUGCAUUUGUACGCAUUGUUGUUGUUCUGUGUUCGCCUUAUCGGUUCGCCUUGCGGGUGUUCGGUUUCCGUGUUUUGCUGGCUGGCCUUUCUGCGUCCCAGUAGGGUUCAGGACGGUUUUUUGUUUUUUGUGUUUUGUGAGCGGAUGUGCUUCCUGCGUGAUAUUCAGGUUCAAUCCCUGUGGGUUUGCAGGUUCAAUCCCUGUGGAUUUUUCAGGUUAGAGGCCUGUGGUUAUUCAGGGUAGCGCCCUGUGGUUUUUCUACGUUAUUUUUUGUUUGCGUAUUGAUGACCGAUUUGUUUGUGUGCUAUCUGGUGUCCUCAUUGAUAGACUGCCCCUGUUUCCGUAGGCGUGUUCAACGUUGCUGUUCUGCCAUUCCUUCUUGUGUUUUUGUCUGAUUUUUGGCUCCUGGUAUGGCUGAGAUGUUUGCGUCAGUCCGCGUUUCCUUCUGUGUGUGUCUCUGUGAGUUUUCGUAGCCCCAUCGGCUGCGUGAUGGUUUUCCGGACAACUCCUGUGCUGCCAGAUGACUGGUCACCCGGUUCAGCUGCCGCGGUCUUCGCAGUGCCGUCGGUUUGCCUUGGCUUCGCAUCAGGGCAAGGUGGUUGUUUCCCGGGGGCCCACGCCUGAAAGUAUGGCGGUUCCCUCUAUGGGUGGGCCCAGUCUGUUUUCUUUCCACCCCUUUGCUUUUGCUUUUCCCCGUUGUCCGGAGUUACUAUCGUAUACUACUAUUUUGGCCCUGCAUGUUUUGUUUAUACUCGCCUGUGUAUGUUGGUCACAUUUGAUUUCUUUUUCUCCUGUCUUUCUUCUCAUUUUUUUCUUCUCUCUCAUCCUCAGGAGAGAAUGCAUUUUUUGUGUGGUCGUAUGUUGUCGGUGCCUGCGCGGACUGCGCAUGAGUGCAUUUGUGCGCAUUCUUGUUGUUCUGUGUUGGCCUUCUUCUUGAGACUCUCUUUGCAGUGAA